Molecule: long non-coding RNA, 393 nt
Organism: Macrobrachium nipponense
Lineage: Eukaryota; Metazoa; Arthropoda; Malacostraca; Decapoda; Palaemonidae
Exons: 3
Source: RefSeq, a predicted model, not a curated record
GUGCCCAGAGUCGAAACCUUGACAACAGAUCCGGACAAGGACAUUGUGGAAUACGGACAACCCUUGGCCAUCACUUGCGUCGUCUCAGGCACCGAUUCGGAGAUCCUCUGGUUGAAAGACGGGUCGAAGCUGGCAUUUGGCUCUCACACUCCUGGAAGGGAGAUCUAUGCGUCGGCCGAGGACGCGAACAGAUUCGGAUCGACUGUGUACAUAGAGUCGAUGACCUUCAGAGACAACGGACACUACGUCUGCUACAUUCCAGGCGCUUCCAGGAACAUCCUCAUCAACAUCGAGGGACGCACUCCGAGGCUCCUUGGUGUCACAGGAGGAGACUUCUUCGAGGAUGAAACACUGGUACUUCGUUGCAGCAUGCAGUAUCUGAGGCAUUCUCAG